UUCCAUGAACCUCCAUAAGCAGACAUGU
RNAcentral lists this non-coding RNA (28 nucleotides) under Rattus norvegicus (Norway rat). Lineage: Eukaryota; Metazoa; Chordata; Mammalia; Rodentia; Muridae. The record is from RNAcentral.